UGUUAAUGUUGUGUUCAUGUGCUUGGCUGAUAGCUUUAAAGAAGGAAUUAACGAAAAACUAACGGUGGCUAUAACGGAAGUAAGGAAGUCGCAUUACGUAGAGUCCUUCCUCACUCUAUACACGCUGUCGGCGUAACUCACUCACUGGGCCACGAGUGUGGCAGUACUGGCUAUCGACUACGAUCUCACAACUACUGUCCCACAGUUUACUACAGAUGUUGCCUGACUUGAAAUCGGUUCAUCAUGAAGAGUAACUGUGUUCUAGUGCCGUUAGCGAUCACCAAUACAGUUGUGAUUCUGAUCCUAAAUGGUGUACCAUUGGUUUCAGGCCAGUGUUCUGAAAACAAGUACGGACCAGAUUGUAGCUAUGACUGUCACUGUGCGCAAGAUGUGACCUGUGACUCUCAGGUCGGGUGUGGCGGAAAGUGUUCUCUUGGCUGGGACGGGCCCUCAUGUCAGAGACAGAAUGUCGCUCUGAACAGACGAACAAGGCAGUCGUCAAACUACGGGGGCUAUUUCUCCAAAUAUGCCGUGGAUGGCAAAGUGGGACAUUCUUUGUGGGAUACACCUUGCACACACACAGACCAUACAAGCAGUUCACAGUCCUGGGUCGUUGUACUUGAUCAUGUAUACCGGAUAAACAGAUUUACUAUAUA
Molecule: long non-coding RNA, 656 nt
Organism: Liolophura sinensis
Lineage: Eukaryota; Metazoa; Mollusca; Polyplacophora; Chitonida; Chitonidae
Exons: 3
Source: RefSeq, a predicted model, not a curated record